CGUAGGGUGCGAGCGUUGUCCGGAAUUACUGGGCGUAAAGAGCUCGUAGGUGGUUUGUCGCGUUGUUCGUGAAAUCUCACGGCUUAACUGUGAGCGUGCGGGCGAUACGGGCAGACUUGAGUACUGCAGGGGAGACUGGAAUUCCUGGUGUAGCGGUGGAAUGCGCAGAUAUCAGGAGGAACACCGGUGGCGAAGGCGGGUCUCUGGGCAGUAACUGACGCUGAGUAGCGAAAGCGUGGGGAGCGAACAGGAUUAGAUACCCUGGUAGUCCACGCCGCAAACGGCGGGUACUAGGUGUGGGUUUCCUUCCUUGGGAUCCGUGCCGUAGCUAACGCAUUAAGUACCCCGCCUGGGGAGUACGGCCUCAAGGCUAAAACUCAAAGAAAUUGACGGGGGCCCGCACAAGCGGCGGAGCAUGUGGAUUAAUUCGAUGCAACGCGAAGAACCUUACCUGGGUUUGACAUGCACAGGACGCCGGCAGAGAUGUCGGUUCCCUUGUGGCCUGUGUGCAGGUGGUGCAUGGCUGUCGUCAGCUCGUGUCGUGAGAUGUUGGGUUAAGUCCCGCAACGAGC
This 572-nucleotide ribosomal RNA is filed under the name uncultured Mycobacterium sp. Its description in RNAcentral is "bacterial SSU rRNA". It matches the Rfam family "Bacterial small subunit ribosomal RNA", at positions 526 to 1097 of the family's 1533-position model. The record is from RNAcentral. Lineage: Bacteria; Bacillati; Actinomycetota; Actinomycetes; Mycobacteriales; Mycobacteriaceae.